Molecule: long non-coding RNA, 1034 nt
Filed under: Calidris pugnax (ruff)
Lineage: Eukaryota; Metazoa; Chordata; Aves; Charadriiformes; Scolopacidae
Description: lncRNA (ENSCPUG00000004298.1)
Source: RNAcentral
AAAUGCUAUUGUGGAGUAAAGAACAAGGAUAUGAGGCAACUACCGUAACUUCUUUCAGUGUUUCUGCUUGGAAAGAGUUAGGUGAUAAAUUGUUUGACGGUGCCACACGGGGGGCAAAAGAUGCUGCAGAACUUUUAACGACGUGGCGUCUGCUUUAUGAGACUCUGAAAGACUUUAAAGCCCAGCGAGAUCAGGCAGAGGGCACCACCUCUGCUUCUAAUACUUUCCAAAGUCUUACACCCCCCGUGCCACUUCCUUCAGAAGAACAGACUGAGGGGAAUAAACAAAUGAUGGAUGCUAAGGGAACAACGGGGAAUGUAAUGCCAGAAGGAGAAAAGAUUGUAGGUUCCGGAGUAUGCCCUAAAACCCGUGAGCUGCGGAGGAGGGUGAAGCUUUGGGCAGAUUCUGAUGAUGAGAUGUACACAAAAUGCUCUUUGGCAGCUCGUGAUAGAGCUUAUAAAACCCCCACAGAGCUGUUAAAUGAGCUGGAACUAGUGCCCUCGGUUGACACCUAUAAUUCAGCUCCAGUAGAGCCGUCGGCUCCACCACCUCCUCCUCCUCCUCCAGAUGAAGGAGAAACUCAACACUCUACGAACUCAUCUCUGUCUCAUGGGUUUCCCAGCCCUUGCGAUAAUCCACGCUCCUGUGUUGAUAACUGGGAUGGUGUAUGUGCACAUUUGCCUCAGGUAACACAAGAACCUCAAGAGCUGGAGUUGUUGGGAUCAGUCACAAGGGAUGCUUGUGUGAUGUUUAACUAUACCUAUAACACCACUCGAAUGGGUCAGAAUGUAAGUGCUACUUUGCCUGUGUAUAGAAAUGCUACAGCCUGGUGUAAUUAUGGCUUCAAGCUGGAGGGGAACAGAUUUAGACUGGAGAUUAGGAGAGGGUUCUUCACUGUGAGGGUGGUGGAGCACUGGAACAGGUUGCCCAGGGAGGGGGUUGAGGCCCCUUCCUUGGAGAUAUUCAAGGAGAGGCUCGACGAGGCCCUGGGCAACCUGGUCUAGUUGGGGGGGUCCCUGCUGACUGCGGGGGGG